This 468-nucleotide ribosomal RNA is filed under the name uncultured bacterium. RNAcentral's name for it is "partial 16S ribosomal RNA". It matches the Rfam family "Bacterial small subunit ribosomal RNA", at positions 28 to 507 of the family's 1533-position model. The record is from RNAcentral.
GACGAACGCUGGCGGCGUGCUUAACACAUGCAAGUCGAACGGAAAGGCCCUGCUUUUGUGGGGUGCUCGAGUGGCGAACGGGUGAGUAACACGUGAGUAACCUGCCCUUGACUUUGGGAUAACUUCAGGAAACUGGGGCUAAUACCGGAUAGGAGCUCCUGCUGCAUGGUGGGGGUUGGAAAGUUUCGGCGGUUGGGGAUGGACUCGCGGCUUAUCAGCUUGUUGGUGGGGUAGUGGCUUACCAAGGCUUUGACGGGUAGCCGGCCUGAGAGGGUGACCGGCCACAUUGGGACGGAGAUACGGCCCAGACUCCUACGGGAGGCAGCAGCGGGGAAUAUUGCACAAUGGGCGGAAGCCUGAUGCAGCAACGCCGCGUGCGGGAUGACGGCCUUCGGGUUGUAAACCGCUUGCGCCUGUGACGAAGCGUGAGUGACGGUAAUGGGUAAAGAAGCACCGGCUAACUACGUG